This 291-nucleotide unclassified non-coding RNA is filed under the name uncultured fungus. RNAcentral describes it as "partial contains small subunit ribosomal RNA, internal transcribed spacer 1, and 5.8S ribosomal RNA". The stretch from base 1 to 73 matches the Rfam family "Eukaryotic small subunit ribosomal RNA", at positions 1759 to 1831 of the family's 1831-position model. Lineage: Eukaryota; Fungi. The record is from RNAcentral.
UCAAACUUGGUCAUUUAGAGGAAGUAAAAGUCGUAACAAGGUAUCCGUAGGUGAACCUGCGGAUGGAUCAUUAAGGAUUGAACUACACAGUCCACACCCUGUCGUCCACGAAUGUCUAUUGUUGGCGCCGGAACGCGGCCGGCUGCGUGCGCGCAGCGGGCAAGCAGUGAAAGCGCCAACCUCAUUAACCAUACGCAAGCUUUGUAUCAUUCUGUGAACACAACUUAACACAAACCUAUACAACUGCUAGCAACGGAUCACUCGGCUCUCGCAUCGAUGAAGAACGCCAGC